This 219-nucleotide long non-coding RNA is filed under the name Elaeis guineensis (African oil palm). RNAcentral's name for it is "long non-coding RNA (EGUI_LNC011638)". The record is from RNAcentral. Lineage: Eukaryota; Viridiplantae; Streptophyta; Magnoliopsida; Arecales; Arecaceae.
AUCUCUCAUUGGUGGAAUACUAUAUUUAUUGGAGCACGGACCUUCGACGAUGCACCUUGCUAUCAUAGCCCAUUUCAUUUUCGGAUCAGACUCGGGUUCACUACUGGCCCAAUCCGAACUUGAGCCCGACUGCAGCCCGACUAUAAAGUACAAUUCUUCCAUUCUUUAUUUUUCUGGAGGAGGCGCAUCGUCAAAUUUGCUUCGCGCAAUAAAUCUUCG